CCUGAUAGCUCAGUUGGUAAAGAAUCUGCCUGCAAUGCAGGAGACCAGACCCUGGUUCGAUUCCUGGGUCAGGA
RNAcentral lists this transfer RNA (74 nucleotides) under Bos taurus (domestic cattle). It matches the Rfam family "tRNA". From Rfam's summary of the family: Transfer RNA (tRNA) molecules are approximately 80 nucleotides in length. Lineage: Eukaryota; Metazoa; Chordata; Mammalia; Artiodactyla; Bovidae. RNAcentral also lists the same sequence under 5 other names. The record is from Rfam by way of RNAcentral.